Long non-coding RNA from Papaver somniferum (opium poppy), 1221 nucleotides. RefSeq lists it as uncharacterized. The record is from RefSeq and is a predicted model, not a curated record. The transcript is spliced from 2 exons. NCBI's taxonomy places the organism in Eukaryota, Viridiplantae, Streptophyta, Magnoliopsida, Ranunculales, Papaveraceae.
UUCAGUAAAAAAAAAAAGUUCCACCACCCUUCUUCUAACACCAUGACCACCACCACUAUCUUCUUUUUCUAACAUAACCACCAGCUAACAAGCCUAGCACCAUUUCCAGACCAUUUAGACAAGAUUUUUGAUCAAAUUCUUUCAAUUUAUUCAUUACAAAGCAACUUUGACAGCAAUUUUUAUAUCCAUCCGACUACGGAUUUUGGGGAUGAACUCUUGUAACUGAAAUUGGUCUCAAUGAAGUUUAUGAAAGAAUUAUGAAUCUGCUGGCUUGGGUUAGUGAUAAGUUUUAUUGUGAACUCUUAAAAAAGAAGAAUUAUUAGUGGUUGAGAAAUUGAAUUGGGGAGGUGAUAUAAAGGUUCUAUGUAUGGCUGACAUUUUCAAUGCGGGGUUGUUUGAUGGAAUGGAGGAUGGUCGUUGAAGUUGUUUACAUGGAAAAACGCGUCAGAAUAUGGUGAAAAGAAGUUUGUUGUGAUAUGAAGUUGGGGAUAAUUUGAGCUAGUCACUCGGUGGUGAAAUUUUGAAGGACAAAAAAUAAAAAUGGAGUUGGUGAUGUGGCUACGUUCGACGGGUGAUGCAGUGGUGGUUGUCUUGAUUACAAUGGGUCUUGUCUAUAAAUUGGUGUUGCAUUGUAGUUUUUAUAUAGUGAGAGCUCGGACAAGAAAUGAAGAAGGUUGCAGUUGAAACUAGUCGUGUACUGACUGAUUUUCUAUGUGUGAUUGAGUUUAACUUGGACAGGUUCUUCAUACCGGAAAAUCAGUUAAGAAGAUAAGUUGCUACCGAGAUAUGGGUUAUGAAUACAAGUGAUUUAAGUGAUAUAUUUUAAUUUUAGUCAUGGUAGAAGUGAGUCUUCAAGACCCUGUUGCAUCUAAUUUUGAUGGAAAACAAGGAAGAAAUUUGAGUUAGUUUCGAUACGAAUUUUCAGCGGAAAUCAAUGGCAAACUGUUGUGGUUACAACUGAUUUUAAUAGUGAAUAAUUGUGUUUAGGUAAGAACAACAAGGAAAUGAAAGAAGAUGGUUCCUGAAAUGGGUGUCAAUGCCAUUGUUUUUUGAUUUUUCAUGUCUAUUCCAGCCAGGGGUUUUUCAGUCAUUUGUAGAUCAGUUCAACUCGGCUCGAGUUGGUAUUUAACAGCAGUUGACAGUUGAAUUGAGAAAACGGGAUGGAAGAGUGAAACUGAAUGUAUUUUAGCAAUUUAGAAAAGACGGGUGUACUUUAGGAAA